AACGAACGCUGGCGGCAUGCCUAACACAUGCAAGUCGAACGAGACCUUCGGGUCUAGUGGCGCACGGGUGCGUAACGCGUGGGAACCUGCCCUUAGGUUCGGAAUAACUCCCCGAAAGGGGUGCUAAUACCGGAUAAUUUCUUCGGACCAAAGAUUUAUCGCCUUUGGAUGGGCCCGCGUUGGAUUAGCUAGUUGGUAGGGUAAAAGCCUACCAAGGCGACGAUCCAUAGCUGGUCUGAGAGGAUGAUCAGCCACACUGGGACUGAGACACGGCCCAGACUCCUACGGGAGGCAGCAGUGGGGAAUAUUGGACAAUGGGCGAAAGCCUGAUCCUGCAAUGCCGCGUGAGUGAUGAAGGCCUUAGGGUUGUAAAGCUCUUUUACCCGGGAUGAUAAUGACAGUACCGGGAGAAUAAGCUCCGGCUAACUCCGUG
Molecule: ribosomal RNA, 433 nt
Filed under: uncultured bacterium
Lineage: Bacteria
Description: partial 16S ribosomal RNA
Rfam family: Bacterial small subunit ribosomal RNA
Source: RNAcentral